RNAcentral lists this ribosomal RNA (253 nucleotides) under uncultured bacterium. RNAcentral describes it as "partial 16S ribosomal RNA". It matches the Rfam family "Bacterial small subunit ribosomal RNA", at positions 524 to 776 of the family's 1533-position model. The record is from RNAcentral.
UACAGAGGGGGCAAGCGUUAUUCGGAAUUAUUGGGCGUAAAGGGCGCGUAGGCGGCCUGGCAAGUGGAUGGUGAAAUCCCUCGGCUUAACCGAGGAACUGCCAUCCAGACUGCUUGGCUUGAGACCGGGAGAGGUGAGUGGAAUUCCCAGUGUAGCGGUGAAAUGCGUAGAUAUUGGGAGGAACACCAGUGGCGAAGGCGGCUCACUGGACCGGUACUGACGCUGAGGCGCGAAAGCGUGGGGAGCAGACGGG